Long non-coding RNA from Cucurbita maxima (winter squash), 249 nucleotides. RefSeq lists it as uncharacterized. Lineage: Eukaryota; Viridiplantae; Streptophyta; Magnoliopsida; Cucurbitales; Cucurbitaceae. The record is from RefSeq and is a predicted model, not a curated record. The transcript has 2 exons.
UUGGCGUAUGAAUGUAGGAAAAGAGAGACAACUCCUCUUCACCGUGCGGCAAAGCUUUUGAUUAAUUCUCAACUGGAGAAUGGUGAUUACCCUCAACAGGAGAUAGGUGGAGUACUUAUGAACACAUGCAUGCUACACUAUGGACUAUAUAGGAACGUAUUCCCUUUGUGGGCUCUCGCAGAGUAUUGUAAUAAAGUUUCAUUGCCAUAGUCUCAACCAAAUUUAUGUAACAUGCUUUCGACUUUUGUU